UAGCCACAAUUUCUGAAAUCCACCCCUGUCAAUACAAUUUUGGCAUUGUCCCAGAGUGGGUUCACAUCAUUCCAUGGCAGCUUAUGGAUUCAUUUAUGGCCUAUUGCAUCCCACUAGUCCAUUAUAAAUAUUUUUUUUUGUUAAGCAACUUAAUUAUUGGGAACAGCUACUAUAAAAUAUGCAGAAAGCAGAAAAAAAAGGUGGGCAAUAAUGGAACAUCCGUUGGAUUCUUCUACAAAUAUGGUAAACCCAGGCUCUUCAUUCUAUGGAUAAUUAAACCGCCCCCAUUAAAAUAUGAAAAUGAGCAUAAAACAAAUCAUUCUUCAUUGACUAAAAGGAAACUUCCCCUGGGCGGAAAGUUUUCCAUUUUAUUUUUCCUUGGGAAGAGCAAUAUUUGAAGCUGGUAAUUUAAUCUAAAUUUGUGGUCCGGAUAGAGAAGACUGAAGAGAAGAGAAGACAGAAAUCACCUUAACCCUCUCCAUGUUGAAGACCUGGUUACUGAUUCUUCUGUGAAGAGCCCACUUCUCACCCUCCAACACAACGAGUCCAUCUCCAAACAGCAGCUUAGACAAAGGGUUCAACCCAAUCUUGCCAUAGCAGCCACUUGUAUUCAUAAGAACCUCCUUAAUCAACUCCGGGUCCGCUAUACCCAACCUGGGAAUUGGCCCGAACCACCACACGAAAGUCUUCCCAUAAUCAGAUGACCACCGGUGGUAAUGUGGAGCUACACGAUGAAGUAUGUCAUGCCCAAAAGAAAUGGAUUUUGACUUCACCUCCGCGUACAUACGGUGGAUCUCAGCUGUGUUCCCGAAUAUGGGACUGUAGGCGGGGCCACUUACGCCUUGUUUGUUGAAGUGGCGUUGGAUCCUCCAUGGCACCCAGAUGAUUUUGUGUAUUAAUUUUAGUAUCAAGAUGACAGGAAUGAACAAUCCAACGGCAAGGAGAUGCAUGGGGGUGGUAGAUGAAAGAAAGGGCAGAGAGAGAUGGAGUUUUGGGGAAAGUGUAGUGGAUUUUAAUUGCAGGGAGAGGCUGGACUACAUGCCCAUGAUGGGAGAGCAAAGUCAGAGAGGGGAGUGGGGCCCAACUUAGAAAAAGGAAGAGUGGGUGAGAGCAUACGUGCCAUUGUUAUCCGGACGUGAGUGAUAGAUGGAAAGGGUUAAUAAGGUUCCUGGUUUUGGACUAAGGGGUGCUUGCUAAAAUUUAACACUUAAUACUUAAAUUUCAUUUUAAGUUAAAUUAUAUUUAAAUGAUUUACCACUUAUUAUUUAAUUUUUACUUGUUUAAUAAAAUUAAUUUUAAAUUAAUUUUAAAUUAUCAAAUUGACUUAUUUAUUUUUAUAAAGUAUAAUUAUAAUAAAAAAGGUUGAAUAAUAAUAAUGUCAUGAAAUAAUAAUAAAAAUCAUAGAGAUAUUUAAAACAAGCAAGAUGAAAAAGUAAAAUGAAAAAAUAAACUUAAAAAUAAGUUAAUUGCUUAUACUUAUCGCUUAAAAUUAUUUUUUUAUUUUAAGUUAUUUUAUUAAAUCUUCUUAAUUUACUUAAUAAAAUUAAGUUAUUAAAUCAAUUUAAGUUAUUAGGUUAACUUAUCAAACCUCUACUAAAUCAACUCAAUUUAUUAAAUAGAUGAAAAUGUUUAAUGAAGUUUUUUUUGAUAAAUAAGUCGUUGUUAUAUGAGAUGUUUGAUAAAAUUUAAUACUUAUUAUUUACAUAGAGUUAGAUUGACUUUAACUUAUUUAAAACUUAUUAUUAUUAUUUUUUUAAAUUUUAAGUAUAAAAAUUAUUUGAUAAAAUUAAUUUAAAAUUUAGUUUAAUUUAUUAUAUUAUCAUAUUUAUUCUCAUUAAUUUUAAUUAAUAUUUAUUCUCAUUAAUUUUAAUUUUAAUUUAUAUUUAUUAAUUAUAAGUAAUAAAUUUAUUUAUAAAACAUUUAUGUUUAAAGUAUGGUACAUAUAAAAGAUAAUCAUAAAAUAUUUAUUAUAAUAAAUUGAUUAAAAUCAUAGUUUUAAAAUAUAGUAAUAUGGAUAAAUAAGGUAAAACUUUUUUUGAAAUUAAGAAUAAGUUAAUUAUUUUAAUUUAAUAUUUAAAGUUUACUAAAUAUGCUUAAAAACCCUUCCAGAUUCAUUUCAAAAUUGAAAACAACCGUUGAGCUCCUUUUAGAGCCCGUUUGACAGUGAUUUUUAAAAGUAUUUCUACCCUUAAAAACACUUUUAAGUGUUUUUGGGAUGAAAAUAAAGUGUUUGGCAAAUUUUAAAAAACACUUUUGAAAAUCUGGAAAAACACUUGAAGUGAUUUUUAGAGAAUCACUUGACAGGUGUUUUUUUUAAAAAAACACUUCAAUUUUUUUGAAAUAUUCCAAAAAUGCCCCCAGUGAUUCCCGAUAUCUUUAUUCCCUUUCGUUCAUACCUCUCUCCUUUAUUCUCCUCCUCCAUCGCUCUCCAUCUGAGACAACACAGUAAACCUCUAUUUUCAUUCAAGAUCGUGGAUCGAAGGUAAAUAUUUUUAUUGAUUUAGAUAUUUUUUGUAAAUAUUUUUAAAGAUUUUAGUAUAUUGAUAAAAAAAAAUUAUUAUUUUUAAUUAGAAAAAUCUUUUUUUUUUUUUAGAAAUUAAUAGGUGGUCAUAUAUUGUUUUACUUUUAAAAUUAUCUUUUAUUCAAUGUUCCUUUUUUUUUUUAUUGAUUUAGAUAUUUUUUGUAAAUAUUUUUUAAAAUUUUAGUAUAGUGAUAAAAAAAUUAUUAUUUUUAAUUAGAAAAGUCUUUUUUUUUUUUAGAAAUUAAUAGGUAAUCAUAUAUUGUUUUAAUUUUAAAAUUAUCUUUUAUUCAAUGUUAUUUUUUUAGUGAUUUAGAUGUUUUUUCAUUAAUAAAAAGUUUUUUUUUUGUUUAUCAUACCAUUUUUUUUAAUUAAAAUGGUAUGUCCUUUUUGAUAAUUUAUUAAUAUUAAAAGUGUUUUUAUGUUUAUACAAUAUAUUAUCAAAAACACUUUAGAAUCAUUUUUUCUGAUUAUCAUAAAAGUGUUUUUCACAGAAACACUAUAGUAGAAAACACUUCAAAUAAAAACACUUCCACUAGAAUCACUACCAAACGGGUUCUAAAUCAAAUUUAUUGAAUCGGUCAUAAUAUUUUUCUAACCUAUAUGUAUAUGUUUAUAUUAUUAUUUGUAUAAUAAAUAAUUACAAAAUAAAUAAAAUUUAUUUAUUUUCCUAACAAAAUGAAAUUAUAUAUAUAAUAAAAAAUAAUAUCAUUUGGAAACAUUUUAUAUUUUAUAUUUGAAUUAUUUUUACUUGUUUUCUUAAAAUUGUUUUAAAAAUAAUUAUACAAAUACAAAUAUUGAUCGGAAAUAAAAGUUGCUUUUGAAAAUUUUUUAAAAACAUAAAAAAUAGGUUAAAGAAAAUUUCAAGUUCCUUAGGCACUAUUAUUUUAUUAAUCUAUGAAACAUAAUCCAAUAGUUGUAAAAAAUAAUUUUCAAAAACCAAUUUUUAAAAAUUCUCUAUUUUUUUUUAACUUACAUCACAUUUAUCAAUGCAAGAGGAAAAAACGUUACCUUCUCCAUCAAAUCCGAUCCAUUUCGUAACUGUUUUUAAAAACAAUUCUGAAAAAUAGUUUUUAAAAAUUGCUUUUGAAAACUGUUCUAUAUUUUUAUAAGAUAAAAGUUUGUUUGGAAAUUUAAAAUAUUUUUAAUUUAUUUUUAAUAUUAUUAAAUAUGUGUGGAUCCCGCAAUUUUGUUUGAUGCGUUCCCACUCGAUAGCGAAGCUCAUUUUUUUAUUUAUUUGGUGAAAAUUUGAUUUUUUUUUAAAAGACUUGAAGUCGCCAUUUAUUUUUAUUUUAUUUUUGAAGGGAAAAAAAAAAGAAAAAAAACCCUAAGUGUGACUCCUAAAGGAGAAACAAGUUUAUGAAAAAGUGAGUUUGAGUCCGGGGUCAGGUUAUUUAUCGGGAAAGUACGGUGGUGAGCCGUAACACCCCUCUGAGUUCCUUAAAAACCGGUCUCUAUUAAAUAAGGUAAGACAAGUGUGACAAUUGACGAGAAAAUCAAUGGAUACUAAUAAAAUGAUCGGAUAAUAAAAUGAAACAUACAUAAGAAUAAGCUAAGUGAGAGUGAGAUCGUAUUUUAGCAACAAAUAAUACUGCGCUAUCACGGAAAUAGGGUUAGCUCAAAUACAACUUAUUACAUGCAUAUUAAAGAGCAAGACAAAGAUCAAACAAUAUUCAUUAAGUACAACAGUUGAUAAUCAGAAGAGAUCAUAUGUAGGACCCUCACCAAAGCCCAAUUUAUUUUUAUAUGAAUUAAUCUCACAAAUUCCAUUGCUUUUGAAAUUAUGAAAAUCAUAUUCAUUCUUAUUAAGAAAAAAAAUAAAGGAAAACAAGAGAUUAUUUGAAAAUCAAAGAAAACUUAUGAAGAUAAAAUAUUAAAAAAAAGAGUAGAAUUAAAAUUAUUCGAAAGAAAACUAGAGUUUUGAAAUUCAUUUAGAAAUUGAAGUCUUGAAAAUUAUUUGAAAAUUGGGGUUUCGACAGUUAAAUUUAAGAAUUGGAAUUUUGGGAAAUUAAAUUUGAAAGAAAUUGGAAAUUUGAAAAUUAUUUGAGAAUUGGAGUUUUGGAAAUUAAAUUUGAAAGAAAUUGGAGUAUCGAAAAUUGUUUGAGAAUUGAAGUUCUGAAAAUUAAAUUAUGAAAAUUGGGAACUUGGAAAUUAUUUUAAAAUGGAAGUUUUGAAAAUUGGAAUUUUGAAAUUAUUUGAAAAUAGAAGUUUUAAAAAUUAAAUUUAAAAAUUUGGAAUUUUGAAGAAUUGUUUGAAGAUGGAAUCUUUUUUUUAAUAAAUAAAUAAAUAAACAAACAAAUAAAAUAAUAAUAAUAACAAAAAUAAUAAUAAUAAAACAAAUAUAAGUGAAAAUUGGAAUUUUGGAAAUUAGAAAUCAAAUUUGGAAGUCAGAAUUUUGAAGAAUUAUUUAAAGAUAGAAUUUUAAAAAUAAGUAAAUAAAUAAAUAAAUGAAAUAAUAAUGAUUAAAUAAAUAAUGAUUAAAUAAGUAAAUGUGAAAAUAGGAAUUUAGGAAAUUGGAAAUUAAAUUUGGAAACCGAAAUCUUAAAGAAUCAUUUAAAGAUGAAAAUUUCAAAACAAAUAAAUAAAUAAAUAGAAUAAUAAUAAUAACGAAAAAUAAUAAUGAUUAAGUAAAUAAAUGUGAAAAUUGGAAUUUUGUAAAUUAGAAAUUAAAAUUGGAAAUCCGAAUUUUGAAGAAUUAUUUAAAGAUGAAAUUUUAAAAAUAAGUAAACAAAUAAAUAAAUAAAUGAAAUAAUAACGAUUAAAUAAAUAAAUGUGAAAAUUGGAAUUUUGGAAAUUGGAAAUUAAAUUUUGAAACCAAAAUCUUAAAGAUGAAAUCUUAAAAAAUAAAUAAAUAAAUAAAUAAAUAAAUAGAAUGAUGAUAAUAACGAAAAUAAUAAUGAUUAAGUAAAUAAAUGUGAAAAAUAGAAUUUUUUAAAUUGGAAAUUAAAUUUUGAAACUGAAUUUAAAAAAAAAAACUAAAGAUGGAAUUCUAAAAAUAAGUAAAUUAAUAAUAAUAAUAAUAAUAAUAAUAAUAAAAUAAUGAUUAAAUAAAUGAAUGUGAAAAUUGGGGUUUUGAAAAAUUAUUGGAAAUUGAAUUUAAGACCUAAAAAUUCUAUGAAGAAUUGUGGAGUUGAAUUAUUUGGAAGUUGGAUUUUCAAAAAUUAAUUUUUGAAGUUUGUGGGCUUUGAAAAUGGGCCCAAAAGGGUGGCCAUGCAAACCGGAACAACAGGAGUCAUUCCUAUUCUCAGGAGCAUGAGGAGGAAUUGCAUGCAUCCAUCUAUAUCUUCUAACACCAGCAAAAUAGGUCGUCUGAUAAUCAAAGAUUUAAUAGUGCGCUUAUCGUUCCAGAAAAUAAAACCUUCCAUUGCAUCGCUUGUGUCAUUCCGAAGGAUCCCAUUGUGACCCAUAACAAAAGAUCAUUUUUAAAGAAAACUAAUAAAGUGCAUGUCAGGAUAGCCAUUACUAAUUCCAAAACUCCCAACCUAUCACUUUUGAAGAGUAGGAAAAACGGUCCACUCUUGAAAACCAGGGUGAACGGUCAGAUCCGAGACCGCCCCAAUGCCGCCAAAGACGCCGACAUCUCCAAACCAAAACCCUGAAACUCUUACGUCUACAAACCCCAAAACGCCAAGCAUUUCAAGUCUCUGAAGCGUUCAUUGAUCAGAGAACCUACCCGAAGCAUUCGAACCUCGUUGCAAUCGCGUCAUCUUCAAUCGGAUUCAUCUCCCACUGCUCAUGCCUGUCGCACUACCCCCACCGACGGACUCAAGGCCGCAGCCACAGUAGGCCCUUCCUCAUUCGUUUAAAAAAAAUGACUAAAAUGUCCUACCAUCCAAGAACGUAGGAGUGCUGUGAAAGCCAACCUGAGGUGGCGAGCCCCGAACCCAGGUGAUGUUGUCCAAAGGAAGCGAAACUCACUCCAGAGGCCAAGAUAAAUCAGGCCAAUCCACUGUAGUAGCACCAGAAUGUGUUUCCAUCAGUUUCUCGAUCUGCUGGGGAACGAGUCGCCUUGAACCACAACUUGCGCCACUUCUGGAAUCCAUAAAUAUAAGCAAUCUAUAGCUCGCUCUGGAUUGUGGUGAGCUGUUCGAAGUGCACGGAUAACAGUCCCCUCGACCCAAUUUCCUCCGCCCGUAUCCAUUAUUUGCUGAAUAGUUUGCUCAAGACUAUUAGCAGAAAAGUGAAAUUUCCAGGAUGCAAACUCUCAUCUCUAAAACCUUUAGAGGACUGUCAUGAUGGUUUGAUGUUUUUUUGUUAACGUGCCAAAGAGUAAACGGAAACAUGAUAAAGACUCAGAGGCAUUUAUCGGUGUACCAGCCGAGAGCAGAACAGGGGAUGCGCACAGUUUAACACUCACCUCAAAAAGGGACACCGAAAAUAGAGAGUAAACAGCAAGAACAGAGCAAGGAGAGUGAAGAUAAAAUAACAUAACAAAUGGUCGAACGAAGCCCUGUUUCAUGCUUUAAUCGAUGUGCUUAAACAGGUGAGCGGAAUCCAAACACAUUUUUAAAUAGAGAUGAAAGCAUGAUAGGCCAUCUCACGAAAAACUCGAACUAGAGCCGAAGAAAUAAGGCCAAACCAGUCAUGAAAUACAUAAAAAAAAAAAACUCGGAUUCCACCGAUAUGCACAACAUAUGAUGUCUGCAAUCAAGCAUCAACAUGAACUCGGAAAUAGCAGGAGGUGAGACAAAACAAUCUAAAGUAGAGAAAUAUCAAGCAUGCCUCAAUCAUACUUGGACGAAAACGACGAACUCCUCCUCUGUUUCUUCUUGCUCCCAAACUCUCCCAAACCUCACUUGCCUCAAGCUCUCUCAAAAAAUUUUUCCCCCAAAAACCCUUCAUUCCACUCAUCUCUACCUUAACUGCUCUCGUUCCAUCCAUCAUCUCUUGCUCAGAGAUGUCUUUCUCUCAACCACCACCAUGGCAAGUUGGUGGUGGUUGCACAUGUCCACGCAGUUUGCUUCCUCCAGAAAGAGGUUCCCCCACUUCAAAAAUGAAAAAAAAAUUCAACUUCUCCCCCUCCCCCCAAGGUCGUGUCCACAAAGGGGUCUACAAUACGUUUUAAAAAUAAUUUUAUAAUUUUUUAUUUUUAAAUAUUAUACAUAUUUGUAUAAUUAGCAUAAAACCCUUUUUGGUUAUCAAAUGUGUUUUCUGUGUUUUUUGUUAUAAAAAAAAAUCCAUCUUUUACCAUUAUCAAGAACUUAUUUCAGUUGCAUAUUAUAAGAAAUUUGAACAACUGUUUCAAAUAUAGUAUCAGAAAGUACUACUUGAAGAACCUCAAUAUCUACUAACUUAUUAGUUAAAUGACAAUUGGCACAUAAGUUUCCCAAGAAUUAUUUUUUUUCCCUUUUUGUUUUCCUUUCUUCUCAUCUUUGAGCAUGUGGGUGCUCAUUUUAACGCCCAAAUACACAGAUUCUACACGAUAAUACGAAUGAUGAAAAGCCUACUUCUCACUUUUCAACCAAAGAAGUCCACCAUCAAGGAAUAGCUUGAAAAUGAGGGAUUAUGCCCAAUCUGAUGAUAUUAUUACUAUCCCAGUGGGAAAGAGGUGGGUGGAUUUUGCAGGAACAACUUGGAGAGCCUUCUGUAGUGAAAAGUGAAAACCAAUGGCUGAUGAAAAGAGUCUUCCAACAGGUUAGAGAGGGGCCCCUCAAUUCAAAACAUGGAGAUUGUCUUUGUCCAUCUUAAAUGACACUAUUCUUGAGUUCUGUUCGUCUUUACAGGAAAAUUAUGUUUUUUUACCAAUAACUGAUAGCAUGAUGGGAAGUACAGCUUCAUACAAUUCUCAAUCUUUUUCAGGUAAAGCACACCAAUGAAUCAGACUCAGGUGAGCUGGUUUCAGGCAGAGAUGCAGCAAUUCAAUGCAUGAACUCAAUCCACCAAGCUGAAUACAUAACAAGUUUAUUUCAAUUAAUACACACUAUUACAUAAUCCCACAAUAUCGUAUACCAAAUUAGUAUACACUACCAUAUUAUAUACUCUGGCUCAUCUUUAUCACAGAAACUCCAAACACCAGGAAAGUUUUCAGCUUAAAAUCCUUCUAAAGAGAAUGUGAGCACCAUACUGAGGCUGCAGGGUGAUAAACAGCAUUGGGGCAUGAACAUAUGUUGAUGAUAACUCGAAAGAAUAAUGUUGGACGAUCAUAGAGAGGGCAAUUUUUGCCUCAACCACUGCAAGAGUUUGACCUACACAGAUCCUGGGGCCCAACCCAAAGGGGAAAAACGAGGCUAGAUGCUUCCGAGGUUCCUUAAAUCUCAGUGGAUUGAAAUCAUUAGCAUCUUCACCCCAUAUUUUAGGGUCGUGAUGAACAGCAGUCAUGACCAAGUACAGUUGCGUGUUUGAAGGAAUAUCGAGACUCCCUAGCUUGACAUUUUUCGAUACUUUCCUUGUCAUCGCCACAACAGGGGGGUAGAGUCGAAGUGUUUCAUUGAGUAUCAUGCUUACCUGUAAACAAUAGUAUUAAGUGUAUAUUUAUCAUACUAAUGUAGAAAGCUAGGUCCUGCCACAUAUAUUGAAAAUGACUGAAAAAAUUUCAUGAAUCCUGUCAACUACUUGAAAUUUUUUACGUGGAGUUUUGGUGAGCUUACAAUUUUAAGGUCGUUUAAAUUCUCUGCUGCAGAAGGCGCAUUGUGUCCAUAGAUGCGAACCACUUCUUCCCGUGCUUUGUCUUGCCAUUCUUGAUGAAAAGCUAGAAGAAGAAGAGCCCAAGUCAAAAGAUUAGCAGUCGUUUCCUUUCCUGCAAAGUAGAAUGUCUUGCAUUCGCCUAUAACAUCCUCCACUCCAAACAUCUCUUCUCCUCCCUGCUGAUUCUUGUUGGCAGACAUUAAUAGACUAAUUAAAUUUUCUGAAUUUUCCUUUGCUUUGCUAUUAGUCUCAAUUAACAUCCGAAUGGACUUUUGAGUUUCCUCCUCAAGUCUCCAUCUUUCUCUGUUCUUCUUAGUGGGCAAAAAUCUGUAUAUAAUUUGGUUUUACAAAAACUCGUCAACUUCUUGUUAUGUCAUGCUCUAGACCAACUCUCCAAUGAAGCGUUGAAAAAGAUAAGCAGAGACAUUGAUAAUUAUAACAACCUUCCUUUUCUCCCCAUAUACUUUACCUCUGUACUAAAGCCCUCUAAGUUUGUCAUGCAAUUAGACUAAUAAGGUUAAAGCAUGAGAGUUUAUUGAAGAUAAGCAUCACCUGAAGCCGGGAAUAUAAACACUUCUUAAAGCCAUGGAGACAAGGUGCAUCUACUGUUCUUGUAAUUCAAAAAUGCGCUUCCCCUCUUCAAAGCUGCUUCCAAAAGCAGUUCUUGAUAUGAUAUCUGCUGUGAGGUUAUGCAGUUCUUUGUGCGCAUCAAUCUCCAACUCCUCCCUCCCUCCUCUUUCUUCCUCCCACUUCUCCAUCAUCUUUGUCACACUAGCCACAAUUUCUGGAAUCCACCCCUGUCAAUACAAUUUUGGCAUUGUCCCAGAGUGGGUCCACAUCAUUCCAUGACAGCUUAUGGAUUCAUUUAUGGCCUAUUGCAUCCCACUAGUCUAUUAUAAAUAAUUUUUUUGUUAAGCAACUUAAUUAUUAGGAACAGCUACGAUAAAAUAUGCAGAAAGCAGAAAAAAAAGGCUGGCAAUAAUGGAACAUUCGUUGGAUUCUUCCACAAAUAUGGUAAACACAUCCUCUUCAUUCUAUAGAUAAUUAAACCGCCCCCAUUAAAAUAUGAAAAUGAGCAUAAAACGAAUCAUUCUUCAUUGACUUAAAGGAAACUUCCCCUAGGCGGAAAGUUUUCCAUUUUAUUUUUCCUUGGGAAGAGCAAUAUUUUAAGCUGGUAAUUUAAUCUUAAUUUCUGGUCCGGAUAGAGAAGACGGAAGAGAAGAGAAGACAGAAAUCACCUUAACCCUCUCCAUGUUGAAGACCAGGUUACUGAUUCUUCUGUGAAGAGCCCACUUCUCACCCUCCAACACAGCGAGUCCAUCUCCAAACAGCAGCUUAGACAAAGGGUUCAACCCAACCUUGCCAUAGCAGCCACUUGUAUUCAUAAGAACCUCCUUAAUCAACUCCGGGUCCG
This 10556-nucleotide long non-coding RNA is filed under the name Vitis vinifera (wine grape). RNAcentral describes it as "long non-coding RNA (VVIN_LNC006056)". Lineage: Eukaryota; Viridiplantae; Streptophyta; Magnoliopsida; Vitales; Vitaceae. The record is from RNAcentral.